GACGGUAGCACAGAGAGCUUGGUCUCGGGUGACGAGUGGCGGACGGGUGAGUAAUGUCUGGGGAUCUGCCCGAUAGAGGGGGAUAACCACUGGAAACGGUGGCUAAUACCGCAUAACGUCGCAAGACCAAAGAGGGGGACCUUCGGGCCUCUCACUAUCGGAUGAACCCAGAUGGGAUUAGCUAGUAGGCGGGGUAAUGGCCCACCUAGGCGACAAUCCCUAGCUGGUCUGAGAGGAUGACCAGCCACACUGGAACUGAGACACGGUCCACACUCCUACGGGAGGCAGCAGUGGGGAAUAUUGCACAAUGGGCGCAAGCCUGAUGCAGCCAUGCCGCGUGUAUGAAGAAGGCCUUCGGGUUGUAAAGUACUUUCAGCGGGGAGGAAAGCGAUGCGGUUAAUAACCGCGUCGAUUGACGUUACCCGCAGAAAAAGCACCGGCUAACUCCGUGCCAGCAGCCGCGGUAAUACAGAGGGUGCAAGCGUUAAUCGGAAUUACUGGGCGUAAAGCGCACGCACGCGGUCUGUUAAGUCAGAUGUGAAAUCCCCGGGCUUAACCUGGGAACUGCAUUUGAAACUGGCAGGCUUGAGUCUUGUAUAGGGGGGUAGAAUUCCAGGUGUAUCGGUGAAAUGCGUAUAGAUCUGGAGGAAUACCGGUGGCGAAAGCGGCCCCCUGGACAAAGACUGACGCUCACGUGCGAAAGCGUGGGGAGCAAACAGGAUUAGAUACCCUGGUAGUCCACGCCGUAAACGAUGUCGACUUGUAGGUUGUUCCCUUGAGGAGUGGCUUCUGGAGCUAACGCGUUAAGUCGACCGCCUGUGGAGUACAGCCGCAAGGUUAAACUCAAAUGAAUUGACGGGGGCCCGCACAAGCGGUGGAGCAUGUGUUUUAAUUCUAUGCACCGCGAAGAACCUUAUCUACUCUUGACAUCCCCGGAAUUUUCAGAGAUGCUUUGUGCCUCUGGAACACUGAAAAAGUGCUGCAUGGUUGUCUCCACCUCUUGUUGUGAAAAGUUGGGUUAUAUCCCCCACCAGCCCCACCCUUAUUCUUUUU
RNAcentral lists this ribosomal RNA (1053 nucleotides) under Pantoea vagans. RNAcentral's name for it is "bacterial SSU rRNA". It matches the Rfam family "Bacterial small subunit ribosomal RNA", at positions 65 to 1115 of the family's 1533-position model. The record is from RNAcentral. Lineage: Bacteria; Pseudomonadati; Pseudomonadota; Gammaproteobacteria; Enterobacterales; Erwiniaceae.